This 253-nucleotide ribosomal RNA is filed under the name uncultured bacterium. RNAcentral's name for it is "partial 16S ribosomal RNA". It matches the Rfam family "Bacterial small subunit ribosomal RNA", at positions 524 to 776 of the family's 1533-position model. The record is from RNAcentral.
UACAGAGGUCUCAAGCGUUGUUCGGAUUCAUUGGGCGUAAAGGGUGCGUAGGCGGCGCCGCAAGUCGCGUGUGAAAGCCCCGGGCUCAACCUGGGAGGUGCGCUCGAGACUGUGGUGCUGGAGUUCGGAAGAGGAGCGUGGAAUUCCCAGUGUAGAGGUGAAAUUCGUAGAUAUUGGGAAGAACACCGGUGGCGAAGGCGGCGCUCUGGACCGAGACUGACGCUGAGGCGCGAAGGCGUGGGGAGCAAACAGG